RNAcentral lists this long non-coding RNA (8719 nucleotides) under Canis lupus familiaris (dog). Its description in RNAcentral is "lncRNA (ENSCAFG00000055504.1)". The record is from RNAcentral. Lineage: Eukaryota; Metazoa; Chordata; Mammalia; Carnivora; Canidae.
CGCAGGCUCCACGCACCGGGAGCCCGACGUGGGAUUCGAUCCCGGGUCUCCAGGAUCGCGCCCUGGGCCAAAGGCAGGCGCCAAACUGCUGCGCCACCCAGGGAUCCCCAAAAGUUAGCAAAUUUAAGAAUAAAAUCGUAAUAAGUAUCUUUUCUAACCACAACGCAAUGCUAUUAGAUACCAAAAGCAAAGGAAAAACUGGAAAAUCCACAAAUUCAUGAAAAUUAAAGAGAACACUCUUGAAUAACCAGUGGGUCAAAAAGCAAAAAAGAAAUGAGAAAAUAUGUUGAGACAAAUGAAAAUACAAUAUAUCAAGAUUUAUGGAUACAACAAAAGCAGUACAAGCAAAGAACACCCACAUUAAAGAAAAAGAUUUCAAAUAAACAACCUAACUUUAUAUCUCAAGGAAUUAGCUCAACAACCCUAUGUGUAAAAUUAGCAAAGGAAGGGAAUAAUAAACAUUAAACCAGAAAUAAAGGAAAUAGAGAACAGAAAAUUUUUAAAAAUCAAAAUAUUUUUAGAUUAACAAAAUUGACUUUUUUUUGCUAGACUAAGCAAGAGAUUAGACUCAAAUAAAUAAAUAUUUAAUAGAUAAUAGAUAUUAAAGAGACAUUACAACUGAUACCAAAGAAAAUACGAAGGAUGAAAGACUACUAUAAACAAAUUAUAGAGUAACAAAUUGGACAAUUUAGAAGAAGUAGAUAAAUUCCUAGAAACAUACAAACUGAAUCAUGAGAAGAAAUAGAAAAUACAAACAGAUCAAUAAUGAGUAAGGAGAUUAAUUCAGGAAUCAGGAAUCUUCUGACGACAAAAACCCGAGGACCGGAUGGUUUGAUUGGUGUCAUUCUACCAAAUACUUAAAGAAGAAUUAGUGCCAAUCCUUCUCAAACUCUUUCAAAAAACUGAGGAGGAGCAAAUACAUCCAAACUCAAUUUAUGAGGACAGCAUUACCCUGAUAACCAAGUGGGACAAAGUCAGUACAAGAAAAUUAUGGCCAAUAUCCCUUAAUGAACACAGAUGCAAAUAUCUUCAACAACAUACUAGCAAACCAAAUUUAAAAGCACAUUAAAAGGAUCAUACACUAUGACCAAGUAGGAUUUACCCCUGGAAUGCAAAGAUGGCUCAUAAUACAAAAAUCAAUUACUAAGGACAUCCCAUAUUAAGAGUGAACGAUAAAAAUCAUGUGAUCAUCUCAACAGAUGCAAAAAAAAGCACUUGAUAAAAUUUGACACUAUUUCAUAUAAAAACUCUCACCAUAGAUAUCAAAGGGAAUUACCUCAACUUAUAAAGGCCAUAUAUAAAAAGCCGUAUCUAACAUCAUCCUCAACAGUAAGAAGUUGAAAGCUUUUCCUCUAAAAUCAGGAACAAGGCAAGGAUUCUUACUCUUGCCACUUCUAUUCAACAUAGUCUUGGAAUAGUAAAACAAUCCUAAAAUUCACAUGGAACCAGAAAUGACCACAGAUAUAAAAAAAAAAUCUUAAGAAAGAAGAAUAGAAUUGAAGUUAUCACUCUAUGAUUUCAAAAUAUGUCUACAUGAAAACAAAUAAAACUGGACCCUUAUCUCAUGCCAUAUGGAAUAAUCAACUCAAAACAUAUUAAAGAUAUAAGACCUAAAACUGUUACAACUCCUGAAAGAUAACCUAAGGAAGAAGUCUGAUAUUAGGCUUGGCAAUAACUUCUUGGAUAUGACAUCAAAAUUACAGGCAACAAAAGUAAAAACAGACACAUAGGAGUAUACCAAACUAAAAAUCUUCUGAACAAUAAAGGAAAACACCAACAGGGUGAAAGGCAACCUACAGAAUGGGAAAAAAAUAUCUGUAAACCAUAUAUUUGAUACGAGCUUAAUAUCCAAAAUAUAUAAGGAGAUCUUAAGAACUUAGGGGAGCCCCCUUAAUAUAAAUGAAAUUUUAAAUCCUGUUUUUACUUAGUAUUAUAUGGUAAUCAUGUUUUUACCUUAUUCUUCGAAAAUAGUUUCUAAUGGCUCCAUAAUUUUGUUCCACCUUGCCAAAUUUUCUUCACUUUCACAGCAAUGUAUGAUGAUACCAUCUUAUCACCAUCACUAAAUACAGUAUUUUCUUUUUAAAAGUAGUCAAUCUCUGUAAAAUAUUUUCUUAUAUGGCUGACUAAUCUUAUAUUUACAUUUUAUUUUUGCAUUUGUUUCAUUUCCAAGUGUCUCCGUCAGUUUGAGCUGUUACAAUAAAAUAGUAUAGACUGGAUGGCUUAGAAAACAUUUAUUUCUCCCAGUUCUGGAGUCUAGGAAGUCUAAGAUCAAAUUGCCAGCAGAUCUGGUGUCCAAUGAAGGCCCACUUCCUGGUUUGUAGAUAGCCACCUGACCUUUGCGUACAAAGACACUAGUUCUAUCAUAUGGGCUCUAUCUUCAUGACUUCAUCCAAACCUAAUUACCUCCCAAAGGUCCCACCUCCAUAUACCAUCACAUUUGAGUUAAUAAUUAAUUUAACAUAAUGAAUUUUAGGGGGAAAAAAAGAUUCAAUCAAUCUAUGAACUAAGUGAAUUAGAGUUUCUUAGAACUGCUAUAACCACAACUGCUUGGAAUAAAACAACAAAAAUUGUUCUCUCAUAGUUCUGGGGGCCAGACAUCCAAAAAUAAGUUUUGAUUUUUAGGCCAAAAUCAAGGUAUCAAUAGGGUCAUGCAUCCAUUAGUGGUUCUAGUAUAGAAUCCUUUCUUUGCUUCUUCAAACUUUUGGUGAUUCCAGGCAUUCCUUGGUUUUUGACAUCACUCCAAUCUCUGCCUCCCUGGUCACAUUUCCUCAUUAUCUUCUGUCUCAAAAACUCCCUCUGCUUUUCUCUUAUAAGGAUAAAUAUGAUUGCAUUAGGGUCCUCCCAGAUAAUCCAGUAUAAAGAUUUAAAAUCCUUAUUUAUUUUGCCAUAUAAGGUAAUAUUCAUUCUUACUAUAUAAGGUGACAAAUGAGAUGUUUGUGCUCAUUUUCUUCCUGUUGCAUCUCAGACAAAUGCCAUAAAGUUGCAAAUUUUAAGCUUCAGGCAGCCCCGGUGGCCCAGCGGUUUAGCGCUGCCUACAGCCUAGGGCAUGAUCCUGGAGACCCAGGAUCAAGUCCCAUGUUGGGCUCCCUGCAUGGAGCCUGCUUCUCCCUCUGCCUGUGUCUCUGACUCUCUCUCUCUCUCUGCCUCUCAUGAAUAAAUAAAUAAAAUCUUUUAAAAAAAAUUUUAAGCUUCAGCCCUGAGGUACUUCCAGAGACACAAUUUAAAAAACAUUACCAAACAAUGGAUAUCAAGAAAAUGAAAUUCCCUCUUACAGGAGAAUUAUCUAAAGCAUCAAAGUUAAAAAUGCAGUAUUAAAGUAAGUAGUAGAUUUUUACCUCAUCCAAACAUCCCUUUAAAAGAAUAACAACUCAUUGCUUUUCUAUAAAAUGAUAAAUCUUUUCCUACAUUUGGGAAUGUUUCUACAAUAUAAAGUAUCUUUUUUUUAAACUCAGUUUAGUAACACACACACACUCUCUCUCUCUCUCUCUCUCUCUCUCUUCUACAUAAGCCUAUGCAUGAAGAACACAUAUUAUUUAGUCUACUCUAGAGGCAAAAGUUUGGAUUUUGCUGCAACCCAAAGCUAUUACACUAAGAGUUAUGAGUACAAAGUAAUGAGACUACAUUUUUCUUUAAUAUAUAAUUUCAUACUUUACAUAUAGAUGAGUGCUGAACCCAUUAGGGUAGGCAAUUUGGGAAAUAUAUACUUACUCAUAAUUUGCAACUUCUCAAACUGUAUUUGUAAUUUUUCUUUUAGAAAUGUCUUCUGUAUCAGUUUAUUACACACCAAAAAAGUCUUAUUUUUAAUAGCCAUACUUUCUUUUAAAAGUAUCAGUUUAGCAUUCCUAAACUCACUCCUAAUUAUUAUUCACUGAACUUGUGAUAAUUAUGUCUUAGUUUUAAAAAGCAAGCUCACCUCAUGUGGGAUGUUUUUUGAUAUUAUUAAAAUUAUUUUAAAAGAAUAAUGCUAGUACUCUGUAAUCUGUAACCAAUUUUGUCAAGCAGAUAUGUUGGUCAAACUGGAGUCAUUUACCACAGUCUAGCUCUCCAGUUCCCUUUGUGCAGUCCAUCUCCAUGUCAUCUAUGACCCAGAAGACCACCUGUAAAUGUUACUUGAUUUAAAGACACCACAUUACUUUACCACUGUGGCCAAAUCAAACCAGGUAGAAGACAAUAAUCUCACUUUGCCAUGAUGGAGGAGAGCUUCAGGUUUAUCAGAAUUGGAUUCAACUCUUGAGAGAAGUCUUACUGAGAAAUUCUGGAUAUACCUACUGAAGCCACACAUAAACUAGUUGUUCUAAAUAAUGGACUACAAAGGGGUUAACAUGAGUCAUCAGGUAUGGGGCCAGAUCAAACUUACCAUAUACGGUGAAAGGCUCUUCUGAUAGGUAGAUCAAUAUCCUUAAUUUAACCCAGUAUCCAUUUAAUGUCCCUGUUUCCCUGGAAGUGAUGUGGGGUACAACCAGCACAACACAGGUUUACCUAUAGAUAUUUUCUGCUAGUUCUCCCACAGGACCUACAUAACUCUUGGCUAGUGCUUUCAAGUUUUAAAUAAUUUUAAGUGUUUAGUUUCUAUACAUCUAACAAAUUAAAAUCAUGUUCUUUGUUUGGCUGCUAACUCAGGGAUCCAUACUUAGUUUUAUAAACUUUUCUUGUUCUUUUUUUUUAAGUUUUUAAAAAUUUUUUUAGUUAUCUCUACACCUAACACGGGGCUUGAACUCAUGACCAAGAUUAAGAGUCUCAUGCUCCUCUAACAGCCAGCCAGGAGUCUCCUUUUCUUUUUAGUCUAGUCUUCUUUAGCUCAUGAAUUUUGUUUGUCAAUAAGAAAUAUUAAAGCAGAAUGUCAUAACACUUCAAUCUAGUUAUGUUAAUGUCAAGAAUUUUAAAAUUAGGGACACCUGGGUGGCUCAGUGCUUGAGCAUCUGCCUUUAGCUCAAGGAGUGAUCCCAGUAUCCUGGGAUCGAGUCCCACACUGGGCUCCCUGCAGGAAGCCUUCUUUUCCCUCUGCCUAUGUCUCUGCCUCUCUCUCUCUCUCUCUCUCUCUGUGUCUCUCAUGAAUGAAUAAAAUCUUAAAAAAAUUUUUUUAAAUUAAAAAAUGUAUUUGUUAAGUGAAUAACAAGUUCCUAGAGAUAUUUUCAAAAACAGUUUUAAACCAAGAAUAAAUUCUUCACAGGUGGCUUCCAAUCGCCUGUGUAACAUGUAUGUUGAUAUUUAUAGUCUAAUGAAUAUAGGUCAGAAGCAUGAAGAAAUGAAGCAGCACUUUUUAAAAAAUAAUAAAUAAAAAUCAGCUUUUAUAGUGACACAGAUUCUUAAGGAUUUAUCAGGAGAAUAGACAUACACUAAUUACAAAGUAGUAAUACAUUUCAUUAGAAGUUAAAUAAACUGAUAUGCCUAACAAUUCAUAUGCCUCUUAGAGACAUUUUAGUAGAAAUGAAAUCAGGCUAUUUCACAGACUGUCAUAGUCAUGGGAAAGGAAAAAUUUUUUGUCAUGAAUGAUCUUGCAGGUUAUGUUGGUUAUUAACUAUUGCCUCUCAGCUCCAAAUUCAUCCUUUUGGCCUGCUCUGAAAAUGGAUCUGAGUCCUUAAACAGAUUUUCUUUGACAACUGCAGCAUGUAAAGUUUUGUCAAGAGAGGGCACUGGAGAGACACACUAGAGAGGGCAGGAGGGAAGGGUUCUGUUCCCUCCUGGCUUCCCCAGGGCCCAGCUCCUGCAAUUGUAGAGAGGUCAGCUGACCCAGCAGCUUCCCCAGCACCAGCUUUGGGUGAUUUUAUAGUGGAGUGCCUCUAAUAAGAUGCAUCUUCAGCAAGCUCCAGGGGGGUGGAUUUCGGGUAAGUUCCAUCAACAAGACACUACACUGACUUUUCUGCACUGAGAGACACAGCCAGGUCCUCUGCAACAAACUCUGAAGUCAGUCCCAAGGGGCCCCUUCUUUGGGUACUCUAUCUCAGCCUUAGGGAAGUGGCUGUUAAGUUCAUGUUAUACCUGCUCUUCUUGUAUUCUACAGAGUUCUCUUUACCUCUUUAUCAAUCUCUCACCUCCUAUUCCCUGUCAUAUUUAUAGUCCUUUAUAUUAAACUUCACCUGUUAAAAUGACCAUGUGGUUCCUCUCUCCUGACUUGGCCAAGAUUUUUCCAGCAACAGAAAGCACUGUUUUCUUAUUCUUCUUUGUAUACUUCAGAAUAAAUAUGCUCACUAACAACAAUACUGAUAGAAAAUAAAAAGACCAAAAAAAAAAAAAAAAAAAAAAACCCAAAACAAAACAGAAAAAAGCUUUUCUGCUAAAAAAUAUUUUGCUUACCUAAUCCUAUAGGGACUUUCACUCCCAUAUGAAAAACCAGAGAAAAAUAAGUGAGAAUGUUUCCUCAUUUAUUAUUAUUCAUCUACAGGAGAAAAAAAAUCCAGUUGAAAAUACUAAAAAUGUGAAUCCAAAGCUUUUGUGAAAAAAGAAAACUUGUCUGAUUUGUGCAUAGCAGAGAAAUAAACAAUCAAGUCAAUUUUACAAAUCACUAGAAAUGAAAAGAAAAAAGGAAAGAUCUCAACUGAUGGAUGGAUGAACCUCAGAUAACAUUUCAUUAUCUAUUGUCUUAAUAUAAAUAAAAAAUACAAACAUUUAUGUAAUAGGACAAAUACAAAGGAGAAAGCAUAAAUAAAAAGGGGAAGAAAAUAUUUUCACAACUUUUAAAUGGGCUGACAUAGACAGCUGCCACCAAACAACCUUAUAAGCAAUUUAAAUUAUGAAAAAAGUUAAUUUUUAUAUUUUAAUCUUUAUAACUACUUAAAACAACUUUCUCAUUCAAUAUAAAAACUGUGCAGAACUUAAAAAGUUAUAAAGCUCUCUUUAGAAGUUCUUAUAUAGAGAUAAUAAUGACAAUAAAAAUAUCCUCCUAUAAUGAACUAUAAGAGAAAUUAAGAAAACAAUCUUAUUUACAAUUGAGUCAAAAAGAAUACUUAGGUAUAAAUUUAACCAAGGAGGUGAAAUAUUUGUAUACUGAAAACUGUAAGACAUUGAUGAAAGAAAUUAAAGACAUAAAUACAUGGAUAUUCUAUGUUCAUGGACUGGAAGAAUAUUGUUAAAAUGUUAAAAAUGUCCAUAUCAUCCACAGUGAUCUACUGAUUCAAUGCAAUCCCUAGCAAAAUACCAAUGGCAUUGUCUACAGAAAUAGAACAAUCCUAAAAAUUAGUAUGAAACCACAAAGGACCCCAAAUAGCCCAAGUAAUAUUGAUAAAGAAUAAAGCUGGAGACAUUAGGCUCCCUGAUUUCAAACUAUAUUACAAAGCUUCAGUAAUCAGAACAAUAUAGUACUGGCAUAAAAACAGAUGAUCAAUGGAAAAGAAUGGAAAGCCCAGAAAUAAACCUGUGCAUAUAUCAUCAAUUAUUUUAUGACAAAGGAGUCAAGACUGUAUAAUGGAGAAAGGAUAGUCCCUUCAAUAAAUGGUGUUGGGAAAACUAGACAGCCACAUGCAAAAGAAUAUCCUACACCAUACACCAAAAAAUAACUUAAAAUAGAUUAGGAGCUUGUUUGGAAGACUUAAAACCAUAAAACUCCUACAAGAAAACAUAGGCUAUUAGCUCCUUGACAUUGGUUCUACAGAUGAUUUUUUUAGAUCUGACUCUAAAAAUAAAGGCAAAAACAGCAAAAACAAACAAGUAGACUAGCUCAAACUAAACAGUUUCUGCAAACCAAACUAUCAGCAAAAUGAAAAGGCAACCUACUGAAUAUGAGAUAAUAUCUGUCAAUCGUAUAUCUGUUAAGGGGUUAAUAUCUAAAAUAUAUUUAAAAAUGCAUAACUCAAUAGCACAGAUCUUCUUCCAAAGACAUACAGAUGGCCAAAAGAAGACAUACAGAUAGCCGACAUGAAAAGACACUCAGUAUCACCAAUCAUCAGAGUAUUACAAAUCAAUGAGCUAUCUAUCACCUCAUACAUGUUAGAAUGGCUAAAAAGACAAGAAAUAACAAUUGUUAGCAAGGAUCUGGAGAAAAGGGAACCCCUGUGCACUGCUGCUAGGAAUAUAAAUUCAUGCAGCCACUACGGGAAACAGUGUAAGUGUUCCUCAAAAAAUUAAAAUUGUAAUUACCGUAUGAUUCAAUAAUACCAUUUCUGGAUAUUUAUCCAAAGAAAACAAAAACACUAACUAAAAAAGAUACAUGCACUUACGUGUCACUGCAGUUAUUACUUAUGAUAGGCCAGAUAUGGAAACAACCUAACUGCUCUCCAUCAAUGGAUGAAUGGAUAAAGAAAAUGUGACACACACACACACACACCCCCCCUAUGUGACAUAUGUGUAAUAGAAUACAGUUCAGCCAUAAAAAAGAAUGAAAUCUUGCUAUUUGCAGCAACAUGGAUGGACCUUGAGGGCAUUAUGUUAAGUGAAAUACAUUAAAGAAAGACAAAUACUGUAUGAUUUCACUCAUAUAUGGAAUUUAAAACAACAGCAAGGAAAAAACCAAGCUCACAGAUACACAGAAAAGACAGGUAGCUGCCAGAGGUAGGAGGUAGGGUGUGAGUGGAUGAAAUGGGCAAAAGAGGUCAAAAGGUAUAAACUUCUGGGUAUAAUAUAAUUAAGUUAUGGGAUGUAGUGUACAACAUCAUGCCGACAGUUACUAAUAUUGCAUUGCAUAUUUGACAGCGGCUAAGGCAGUAGAUCUUAAAAGUUCAUCACAAGAAAACAAAUUUUUUUAACUAUGUUACAGGAACAGAUGUUAACCAAACUUACUGUGGUA